GUUGAUGUAGCUUAAUACUAAAGCAAGGCACUGAAAAUGCCUAGAUGAAGUACGCCUACUCCAUAACA
Molecule: transfer RNA, 68 nt
Filed under: Myotis muricola
Lineage: Eukaryota; Metazoa; Chordata; Mammalia; Chiroptera; Vespertilionidae
Description: tRNA-Phe
Rfam family: tRNA
About the family: Transfer RNA (tRNA) molecules are approximately 80 nucleotides in length. Their secondary structure includes four short double-helical elements and three loops (D, anti-codon, and T loops).
Source: RNAcentral